RNAcentral lists this ribosomal RNA (253 nucleotides) under uncultured bacterium. RNAcentral describes it as "partial 16S ribosomal RNA". It matches the Rfam family "Bacterial small subunit ribosomal RNA", at positions 524 to 776 of the family's 1533-position model. The record is from RNAcentral.
GACAGAGGGGGCAGGCGUUGUCCGGAGUUACUGGGCGUAAAGCGCACGCAGGCGGCGCGGUACGUGGGGUGUGAAAGCUGGUGGCUCAACCGCCAGUCGCCAUCCCAGACUGCCGCGCUCGAGUGGUGCAGAGGUUCCUCGAAUUGCCGGUGUAGUGGUGAAAUGCGUAGAGAUCGGCAGGAAGACCGAGGGGGAAACCAGGGAACCGGGCACUGACUGACGCUCAGGUGCGAAAGCGUGGGGAGCGAACCGG